UGAGUAACCUGCCCUUCACUCUGGGAUAACUCCGGGAAACCGGGGCUAAUACUGGAUAUGACUCGAACAGGCAUCUGUUUCGGGUGGAAAGAUUUAUUGGUGGAGGAUGGACUCGCGGCCUAUCAGCUUGUUGGUGAGGUAAUGGCUCACCAAGGCGACGACGGGUAGCCGGCUGAGAGGGCGAUCGGCCACACUGGGACUGAGACACGGCCCAGACUCCUACGGGAGCA
Molecule: ribosomal RNA, 230 nt
Filed under: uncultured bacterium
Lineage: Bacteria
Description: partial 16S ribosomal RNA
Rfam family: Bacterial small subunit ribosomal RNA
Source: RNAcentral